GAUGAACGCUGGCGGCGUGCCUAAUACAUGCAAGUCGAGCGAACAGAUGAGGAGCUUGCUCCUCUGACGUUAGCGGCGGACGGGUGAGUAACACGUGGAUAACCUUCCUAUAAGACUGGAAUAACUUCGGGAAACCGGAGCUAAUACCGGAUAAUAUAUUGAACCGCAUGGUUCAAUAGUGAAAGACGGUUUUGCUGUCACUUAUAGAUGGAUCCGCGCCGCAUUAGCUAGUUGGUAAUGUAACGGCUUACCAAGGCAACGAUGCGUAGCCGACCUGAGAGGGUGAUCGGCCACACUGGAACUGAGACACGGUCCAGACUCCUACGGGAGGCAGCAGUAGGGAAUCUUCCGCAAUGGGCGAAAGCCUGACGGAGCAACGCCGCGUGAGUGAUGAAGGUCUUCGGAUCGUAAAACUCUGUUAUUAGGGAAGAACAAAUGUGUAAGUAACUAUGCACGUCUUGACGGUACCUAAUCAGAAAGCCACGGCUAACUACGUG
RNAcentral lists this ribosomal RNA (497 nucleotides) under uncultured bacterium. Its description in RNAcentral is "partial 16S ribosomal RNA". It matches the Rfam family "Bacterial small subunit ribosomal RNA", at positions 28 to 507 of the family's 1533-position model. The record is from RNAcentral.